UCUCAUCACCAGCGUUUAACUGUCAUGUGCCUCUUACUUGUGUUGACCUUUUAAAAUGAGACUUACGCCAAUAAAUUCACGUUCUUGCUCUUGCUUACGACCAGCUUCCGGGUCCUGCCAGGUCUGCAGAAAGGAAUGGUUUGGAUAGCCCUUCGCUACACUAUGAAGCAGUUAGUUCAUCACUUGGUGUUAGCCUCGUUCUUUGGGCUGUACCCUCUCCAGGCCAGGCAAAGGGGUCUCUGCUCUAAUGCGGGUCGCCUGGGCCAGUUUGAUCUCCAGCGAUCGGAAUGUCCUAUCCUCCUCUACUGCUGGGAGCCUGUCUGAAAUUGUCUGAAGCCAGUGGUAUUUCCGCGCAGAAGGAAAGGCGAGCAGGCGAGGCUCUGGGAGUGAUAGUCAGGCAGCUGGAUGGGGGACUCUAACAACAUCCCCAGCCCUGCGCAUUUGCUCACCGCCACUGAAGAAUUCGGACCCAGGACCUCAUGAAUCCAAUGGGUACCUAAGAGUUACUUCUUGAGGUCUGUUGUGCACAGCCUCAGUGACAACCAGAGCUUCUGAGGUUUGCAUGCUGAGGAGACAUGGCUUGGGGUUUUUUUUUCCUGUGUAUCCCAAGGAAAGCUCUCUUUCCACAUUAACUCCCCUCAGUGAAAGUAAGGGUUGAUGACAAUUUUACUGAUUUUUAGCCAGCAUGUGUUCCCUCCUCAUACAGACCAGCAGGGAACACCAGGAUAGGAGCACUACCUCCCCGUUUUAGAGACAGAGGAUGUUAUAGGGCCAUGCCUAGCAGUGUCAUGGAUCAGCAGUAGAUGAACACAGAACAAACUUACGAAGUGAGAGUUCGUGGUUUCGUUGGAGACUCGGUUGUGUUGUGUGAUGUUUUUCUGGAAGCUGCCUGGUGAAAAGGCGUGUUAUGACUUUCUGGAGUGGAUGCUUGAGAGGACACGUGGUGUGUGGAAAGGUGUAAGUGGACGACGUGCUGGCAUUGGUUCACCUUGUCAAUCCUCUGCUGGUCUUUCUCGGUCUUCACUGGCGAUGCUCUGGCAUUGGAUUACCUUGCUUUCUUCACUGGUCUUCCAUUGUUGUGACUUCAUACACAGAGAUACACUAAAGAACUUUUGGUGGUGUUCCAGCUGUUCCUUGCCACUUUAGUGGACUUAUGCCAGUCAGCAGAGCCUCACAGUUUCUUCUGCAUCUAGCUGCUGCUGGCUCGUGUUUGAUGUGUUGCUAGUGGAUUGGACUGCUGACAAUGAAGACUGGAAUCACCCCAAGGAACUACUUCUAAACAGGUCCACAUCCCCUUUGUCCUCUCAGCCAUCUUCCUCCCCUACCUUUGGUUGGUGGGUUAUAAAGAAGGUUGAAGCAUUUAAGAACCCUUAUUAGAGUAGAUUUUGAAAAUUUUCAGCUUAGGCUCUAAUGGAGAUGCUACUUCUUAAUUCCUAAUCUGUAAAAUGGGGCUAAAGCCACUUAAGUAACAAGUGCACUCUGAACCAAUUUCGCCAAGGGUUUAAAGGAUCACAGGCUCCUGAUCAAUUUACCUCUCCUGCUCUUUGAUUGGUCAUCAUGUUCAAAUGUGUUGUAGAAAUUUUUAAUCCCAAUCUGGAGUUUCCAUCCUGCCUUGAUCAUUCAGUUGUCGGAUAAAAGGCACACAACUUUUCUUACUUACAAUAAGCCUUAAACAGCACAAGAGCGGGGCAGAUAUCUACUCUCUAUGCUAUUAGAAUCUACCUUUUUACCAAUAACCCCAAGUUAUUACUAUUUUAUCUGGGAUGCUCUUAACUCCAAUUGGCCAGCUCUCAGGGUGACAUUCUCAUGGCUCACCUAACCCAUGGUGGCUCCUCCUCCAUCCCCCCCCCCCCACACACCCCUCUCUCCUCCUCCUCUGACCCCAAGCCCAGGAAUCCUAAAGUCCACCUGUGUCUCUUCUUUCCAGUUAUUGGCUGUCGGCAUCUUUAUUUACCAAUCAGAAAUAAGUUGAAGGCAAGGUCACAUAGCAUUACUUGGGUCUAUAUAAGGACUCUCUCAUCUCUGGGACAAUCAAGUCUUGAGGAACCAGAUCUGGCUUUAGAAUAUAAGCAGCACCAGGCCAACCCACUGCAAUAGGAGUGAAAGUGAAGGCUUAAUGUAAAAGCUCACGGAAGCUCUUCUCCUUACGAACCCGAGCUUUCCGCAGAGACUUUGUUCUGCUUACAGCCAGCCAAUGGCAUCUCUCCUCAGCUCACCCUUGCUUAUCAAGGUUUCAUAGUAAGUAUACCUCUAGAUCAUGGCACCACUUCUCAGUGACUCACCCCAGUCCUCAUACUUCUGCUAUGUUUAAAUAGUGCCAGUGGUUUAUGAAGACCUUUGUAGCCUGCUAAGCAACUGUUCCCCAUCUUAAUUCUUCAACCAUAUCUCACCCCAAGCCUAUCACAAACACCCUCCAUUUAUUUAAGACUAUUAAUCUUUCUGAAAUUCCAUUCACCUUUCACUGCUCGCUCACCACUUCCAUGAAGCUCUCUCCUGUCUCUCCAAACACGGAUCAUGUUGACCUCCAAAACCAUGUUUAUAGAUGCAUCUCAGCACAUGUUUCCUCAAGAAGCCAGUGUGCUUUUGUGAUGUCAUUACCUCCAAAGAGCCUAACGUACCUUCAUGUGGUGAGAAUCAUUAUUCAGUGAGUAACUUACGCUCAGAACAACUAUAAUGUCAGCCGCAGGCAGACAGCAGGCGAUUGUGUCCAUGCAUUGAUAUAUAGUCUCUUAGGAUCCAAGCUCAGACUCAGCCAGGUCUACAGGGGGUGGGGGGCUCCAACUUCUCGCCUCACUGUCUAUAUCCCUUCCUUCUGUGCAUAGGACUCUUUGGUGUUCCAUGGACUUUACUUCUUUCAUAAGCUACUGGCUGUCAUUUCAUUGAGCAACCAUCCCUCCUACUAUUCAGAUACAAACCAACUCUUGUUUGCUUUUUCUCUAUAAGAAUGGACAGAAACCGGAGCCUAGCAAACACAGAAGUGGAUGCUCACA
Mus musculus (house mouse) is the source of this 2990-nucleotide long non-coding RNA. RefSeq annotates it as predicted gene 4718. The transcript is spliced from 3 exons. Lineage: Eukaryota; Metazoa; Chordata; Mammalia; Rodentia; Muridae. The record is from RefSeq and is a predicted model, not a curated record.